CUGCUAAAAUAGCACGCCUCUGUCUACGCUCCUUGCAAUUCAUUAGGGUUUCUUUUGUUUUUGUUUUUUUAGGUUUUAUUUUAUCUUGAUUUGUUGCUUUCUGUCUCUUGAUGCGACGGUAAAUAUCAGAUCUCUUUAGUACAGCAAUUUCAAGUAACGAGUUAGUAUGGAGACAGAAUUUGCGGGACUAUCUUUGGAGGAGGGGGAAGAUGAAAUUUUACAAGUACAAACUGAAACUAAUACAAACAGAGAAACGGAAGUUUUGCAAUUGGUGGGAUGCUUUUUAACUGCAAGUAUUGUUCAUUUUCCAGCAAUGAGGAGUACAAUGGCGAAUUUGUGGCACCCUGUAAAAGGAGUUCAGAUUAGAGAUUUGGGGGAAAAAAGGUAUCUAUUUCAAUUUUUUCAUAUAAUGGAUCUUGAAAGGGUUAUUAAAGGUUCACCUUGGACUUUUAACAAUCAUUUAUUGAUUCUUCAUAAGUUGCAAAGGGGGGAGGAUCCUUUGAAGGUUUCUUUAAUCUACUCACCUUUGUGGGUUCAACUUUAUAAUGUUCCUAUUGGUUUUGUUUCGAAAAAUCUGGCAAUUCAAUUGGGCAAUUUCAUUGGUGAAUUCAUGGAGUAUGAUGGUUCAAGUCUGGGUAAAGAUAGCAGGAAUUUCAUGAGAAUAAGAGUUAAAAUUGAUGUACGGCGUCCUUUGAAAAGGAAAAAACAGAUAAUGUGUUAUGGAAAGUGUUCAUAUGUCUGGUUUAAAUAUGAAAGGCUAUCACUCUUUUGCUUUUAUUGUGGUUGUUUGGGCCAUAGUGAUUCCUUUUGUGAAGCAAGGAUGGCGGAAGGAGUGGAAACUAAAGAGAUGGGAUGGGAUUUAUCACUUAGGGCACAGUCUCGACGAGCUCAAACGAUGACAAGUGUAUGGUUGCGAGAAGAAGGGGACGAACAAGGAAGUGGGAUCAAUGGAAAAAGGCAACUUAGAAGGAACGCGGUAAGAGAUCUGGCAGAAAAUAUGGUUAAUAAUGAAAAUAUUGAUCCAAUAUUGGCGAUUAAUCUUGUAGGAAGUAGAUCUCAGACACGAGAAGUAAACGGGAAGUGGAGUGGGAUUUUGAUGAAUAACUUAAUGGAACAUGAUCUUGAAGAUGAAGUAUUUAUUGGAGAGGAGGGAAAGAAGAGAAAUAGAAGGGAGAUGGAGGCGGAUUUGGCCAAAGUAGAGUCGAACAUCUCGACGGUAAGGAGUAUGAGGACAUUGGAGGUGAGCAAUCAAUCAUCGGCAGCUGCCAAAUGGCAAGCUGACCGAGGGCAAUGAAAAUCCUAAGUUGGAAUGUUCGUGGAUUGGGGAGUCCACGGACAAUUCGGAGACUUCGGUACAUGCUGAAGUUAUAUAAUCCCCAAGUAGUCUUCUUUAUGGAGACAAAAAUAAGUAGUAAUCAAAUGGAAAGAGUUCGAAAGAGUUGUGGGUUUUUACACGGUAUUGAUGUGAGUUCAGAUGGUUCUAGGGGUGGGUUGUGUUUGGCUUGGCGUGAGCACAAAAGAAUCCAACUAAAGAGUUUUUCAAGAAGACAUAUUGAUGUGAUCAUUGAUGAAGAGGAUGAAGGGCACAAAUGGAGGUAUACAAGUUUUUAUGGGUCUCCAUAUUCACAAGGCACAGCUGAGGCUUGGAACCUAUUAAGGCUUCUAGGUACAGAAAGGGAGUUACCAUGGAUGGUUUGUGGAGAUUUUAAUGAAAUUCUGUAUAGUUUUGAAAAAAAAGGCGGUUUAGUGCGAGAGGAAGGACGAAUGGAAGAUUUUCGUAAGACUUUGGAGGAAUGUGAUUUAUCUGAUAUGAGGUUUACUGGGAACUGGUUUACUUGGGAAAUGGGGAAUUUACCUGAGAAUAAUAUUCAAGAGAGGUUAGAUAGAGGAGUGGCGACUGCAGAGUGGCUGCAUUUGUUUCCUGAUUUUCAGCUUCAACAUCUUCCUCAUACGUUUUCUGACCACUGCCCAUUACUGGUUAAUACAAAGAAUGAGUGCAGAGAGAGAACACAAAAAAGCUUCAAAUUUGAGGCUUGGUGGGUAUUGGAGGAUUCGUUUUUAAAUACAGUUAAAGACAUAUGGGAACAUUCUGAAGGAGAUUUUUUAAGCAAGUUGGACAGCAUGAAAGAGGGGCUGGAGCGAUGGGCUAGUCAAAUUCGGUUCUCUAGAAAAGUAAAGAAGAAGUUGUUAUCAUCCAAGCUGGUUUCAUUACUUGAAGAGGAAAGACAUGAAGAAAAUUUAGCUGACCUGAUUGAUACAAAGAUCCAACUUAAUUUCGAAAUAGAAAAGGAUGAGUGCUAUUGGGAACAAAGGGCAAGGGUGAACUGGUUGAAAUUUGGGGAUAAAAAUACAGCCUUUUUUCACAAACAAGCUACACAAAAACGACAGAGGAAUCUGAUUCGCAAAAUGAAGAACGAUGAUGGGAUGGAGACGGAAGAUUUAAAGGAAAUGGAAUUAAUUGCCAGGUCAUAUUUCAAUCAGUUAUUUUCUGGUGGCAGAUCUGGAAAUUUUGAGCAUGUUUUAUCUGGAGUUCACAGGUGUAUCUCAAACGAAGAUAAUUCAAUGCUAAAAGAGAGUUAUACAAAGGAGGAGAUUCAGCAGGCUCUGUCAGAAUUAGGGCCCACUAAGGCUCCAGGAGAAUAUGGAUUUCCAGCGUUUUUCUACCAGAAGUGUUGGGCAAUUAUCGGAGAAAAGGUAAUUUCUUUUUGUCUCGAUCAACUGAAUGGAAGAAUGGAGGUAGGACCAAUUAAUAGAACAAAUAUUGUUUUAAUCCCCAAAAUUUCAAAUCCAAUGGAUAUAUCACAUUUCAGGCCUAUUAGUUUGUGUAAUGUCAUAUACAAAUUAAUGGCUAAAGUUUUAGCGAAUCGUAUUAGGAAAGUGUUAGACAAAUGCAUUGUUCUUGCACAAAGUGCUUUUGUGCCUGGGAGAUUGAUAUCGGAUAAUGUGUUGCUGGCUUAUGAAUUAAUCCAUACGUUGAAACAGAAGAGGUCAGGGAAGAAGGGUUUUAUGGCAGUUAAGUUGGAUAUGAGUAAGGCAUAUGAUAGGGUGGAUUGGAGUUUUGUGGAGGAAAUAAUGAAGAAAAUAGGUUUUGAUCCAAAGUGGGUAACCAAACUGUUAAAAUGCGUUAAUACAGUCUCUUAUUCAAUAGGUAUUAAUGGGCAUCGUGGAGACUUCUUUUAUCCUUCAAGAGGUUUAAGACAAGGGGAUCCGUUGAGUCCGUUCUUAUUUCUGUUCUGUGGAGAAGGUCUCUCUAGCCUUAUGAGAUUGGGUAUGCAGGAAAACAAAAUUAGAGGUGUCAAAGCAAGCAGAAGAGGGCCGUAUGUUUCACAUUUGCUUUUUGCGGAUGAUUUUAUUCUGUUUGGGGAAGCUUCUGAGAGGGGUUCAAUUUUUUUAAAACAGGUCCUCCGUGAAUACGAAUUUUGCUCGGGUCAGAAAGUUAACUUUUCAAAAUCUACAAUUUUUUUCAGCAGCAACACUCAGGAAGGAGAAAGAAGAACAAUUACUCGGAUGCUUGGGGUACGAAGUUCAGAUGAUCUGGAAAGAUAUUUAGGGUUACCUAGCCUGGUGGGCAAAAAGAAGAAGAUAGCGUUUCAGAUGCUGAAGGAUAGAUUCAAGCAACGAAUUGACAAUUGUGGUAUCAAAUAUCUCUCACAAGGAGGUAAAGAGGUCUUCAUAAAAGCUGUUUUACAAUCUAUACCAACCUAUUCGAUGAUGUGUUUUUUACUUCCUAAAUCUUUCUGCAAGGAACUAGAGGGUAUUAUUGCUAAAUUUUGGUGGCAGAAAAAUAAGGGGAAAAAAGGGAUCCAUUGGUGCUCUUGGAAGGAUAUAUGCAUUGAAAAAGAAUGGGGUGGGUUAGGUUUUAGAAGUCUUGAUAAAUUCAAUAUAGCUUUACUGGCAAAACAGGGUUGGUGUCUUCUUAAUUAUCCGAGUUCUUUAUUAGCCCGAGUUUUAAAAGCGAAAUAUUUUCCAGAAACAAAUUUCUUAAAUGCUCCUCUGAGUAACUCACCUUCACUUACCUGGAGGAGUAUUUGGUCGUCAAAAAAACUCCUGACAGAUGGAUUAUGUUGGAGGGUUGGUAAAGGUGACCUCAUUUCAGUAUGGGAUGAUAUAUGGGUGCCGAAAAUAGCUGCAGACAGAUUACAGAAGGACAAUAACAUUGAAAAUAUCAGAGUAGUGUCUGAUUUAAUCAAUGAAGAUAGCAGAACAUGGAACAGGGAUUUGAUUGUUCAUACAUUUAGCUCGGAUAUCGCUAGGAAAAUACUACAGAUCCCGCUGUCAAAGUCAAUUCAGGAAGACAUCCAAGUGUGGAGAGGGGAGGCAACUGGUGACUUUUCCGUAAGGAGCGCCUAUAAACUAUUAUAGAAAGCUACAAUUGAUCCUAGUGUUUAUUUACAGACCAAUACAAAAAAUUUCUUCAGAAAACUAUGGAAUUUACAUUUACCCUCAAAAAUCAAGAUUACAAUUUGGAGAAUAGCUUGGAACUACAUUCCCACUUUUUUCAAUCGGAAGAUGCGGACAGUGAUGGCUGAGGAUCGAUGCUUGAGAUGCGGUCAGGAAGGAGAAGAUAGUUUCCAUGUUUUCUAUCUGUGCCCUACAGCAAAUGAGAUAUGGAGUCACUUAAAUUUCUCAUGGAUAUUCAACAACAGUCAUAUGGAUACUUGGAGUUGGCUUACCUGGGUUUUCAGCCAAGGGACAAAUGAACACUGCAGGAGUUUCUGUUGCGGGCUCUGGUUAAUCUGGACAAACAGGAAUAAAUUAUUAUAUGAAAACAUAUCAAACACUAGUUGGGAUAUCUCCAAACAAAUACAAAGUUAUAUUCUAGAGCUAGAAGGGAGUAGAGAAAGAGAACUUAUCGAGGGAACUAGCGUGAGGUCUAGACAAAGUUCACAAAGGGGGAAAAUGCCAUCCUUUUUGAUGCGGCCUUCGACUUAAAGAACUCUAGAUCUGCGUCAGGCCUUGUUGUUUGUAAUGAGGAAGGUAAGAUCGUUGCAGCAAAGUCGACCCUUCAUGAAGAUAUCGCAUCUCCAUUUGCGGCGGAAGCAGUGGCAGGUCUUCAAGCCGCAAGGUUAGAGAUUCAGUUAGGUUUUCAUACUGUAGACAUAAUCGGAGACUCAAGAAAAGUGAUUACAAAAUGCCAAAAUACAAGUCGUGACAAAUCAGAAAUAGGGGCGAUAAUCAGUGAUAUUUAAAGCUUAAAGGAUCAAUAUCGAAGGAUCAGAUUCCAUUUUAUCCCAAGGUCAGAGAACAAAGAAGCCCACAGUCUAGCUAGAGAAACACUCAAGAAGGGAAGAGAGCAGUACCUGGAGGGAGAGACCUUUCGAUCAUCUAGAGGAGAAAUGGUACCAAAUCAUCGGAUUUCUUCAGAGUAAAAGAAAUGGGAAGACUUCAGUGUAAAAGAAAUGGGAAGACUUCAGCGUUCGGUAAUAUGGGACGACGCUUGAAAUGGGUGGAAUAGCACCGUUCUGAAAUGCAAAAUUGAUAGUGAAAAGAUAUGGAAAGAUUUGCUUUUACGUUUCAGUGGUCUUGGGCAGAAGAAACGUCAGUAUCAUUUAUGAAGAUCAACUGACUGUUCGGCUGGAAACAAUUUGAAUUUUCAUUUAUUUUCUCUUUUCUUGUGCAAGACAAACAGAUAUUGGGCCUGCUUAUUUUUGUUAUUUUGUUUUCUUAGGGCAAAUUGGGUUUAGCCCAAUUGAACUUUAUUUUUACAAUUUAUUAAUAAAGUCCAAUCGAAUUUUUCAAAAAAAA
This 5745-nucleotide long non-coding RNA is filed under the name Gossypium barbadense (sea-island cotton). Its description in RNAcentral is "long non-coding RNA (GBAR_LNC017604)". The record is from RNAcentral. Lineage: Eukaryota; Viridiplantae; Streptophyta; Magnoliopsida; Malvales; Malvaceae.